RNAcentral lists this long non-coding RNA (699 nucleotides) under Aedes aegypti (yellow fever mosquito). Its description in RNAcentral is "lncRNA AAEL024008". Lineage: Eukaryota; Metazoa; Arthropoda; Insecta; Diptera; Culicidae. The record is from RNAcentral.
AUCAUGAUUUUUACAAAAAGGAAAUUUUCCUGAGCAGCACUCAGCAAUGGAUCCAACGUGGAAGACAUGCCUUUUGCAACAAUCGAACGGUUAUCCUGCUGCUUCUACGCAUACGCUAUGACAAGUCUGGAGAUUGAACCAAAUCGGAAUCAAAAGCCAAAAAGAUUGCGAUAAAAAAACAGCUGCCGUCUAUUCUAGUGCCACAUUAUUGGAAUAAAUACAAAACCUUUAAGAACCGGAUCAACACUUAUAGGCAACAUCGAAAAUAAUCCAGCUACCUGGUAAGUCGGUGGCCGUAAGAAGAACAGGCGUCGGAAGCCUAAAUUGCUGAGACUACAGUUCCUGUGAAUCCCCUUCUAUCUACAGAAAUUCCUUCCAACAACAAAAUAGCAGUCUUUACCAGAAAGCGGUCCCAGAAAAGAUGCCGACUCUUGCUAAAACUGUCCUGUGCGAGCAGAAGCGACCAGUGCUUUUUGGAAGUCUUGAUACGCACAACAGGCAACUUACGGCAAUGCAAUCCGCAUGGAGUCAGUCCGGAAAAUGAUGCGCAACAAAACGAUGUUGGUGAAACGCGAAGCUAUAAUCAACUCGGGACUGCAAUCAUCUAUUAUUUUUAAUAAUGGAAAAAAACGUUUGUGAGAUAGCUUAAGGUUUGAUUAUAAAAAUAAAUAAAUAAAUAAAUUUGGUAUAAACGUUCAA